RNAcentral lists this ribosomal RNA (679 nucleotides) under Galerina arctica. Its description in RNAcentral is "partial 28S ribosomal RNA". It matches the Rfam family "Bacterial large subunit ribosomal RNA", at positions 830 to 1467 of the family's 2925-position model. The record is from RNAcentral. Lineage: Eukaryota; Fungi; Basidiomycota; Agaricomycetes; Agaricales; Galerinaceae.
CCCAACAAGUUUAAUUUAUAACUCUUGCUUUUGUUAUUUACGUAACAAAGGUAAAAUAAAUUUUAUACGUUUAGGUUGCGGGGAUCUAGAAAAUCUUACCUUUGGAAGCGAAUCUCGGAAUUACAUAAAUUGAUGGUAGAUAUUCAGACUGCUCAUGCUAAGUUGGGCAGUCAAGACGGAAACAGCCGAGAACACUGAUCAAGGUCCCAAAUGAUUGUUAAGUGAAAUUAAGGAUGUAGCAAUAUCGAAUACAGCUGUGAAGUGAGCCUGGCAGUCGCUACUUAUAAUGAUCGUACGUAACAACGCAUCAGCAGUAUUUUAUAACUUAAAAGUUAUAAAAAUGAUAGUAGCACCGAAAAUUUAACGGGUCUUAAACAAUCAACCGAUAUCGUGUUGGUUUUAUUAAAAAGUAAAUUUUUAAUGGAAUCUAGGUAGUAGAACAUUCAGUUUAACUGUUAAUUAAGUAGUGUUUCAUUAUUUAUUAGGUUACUGAAGAGAGAAUGCUGACAUGAGUAACGUAAAAAAUUCCUUAUAAUGGAAUUCGCCGAAUACGAAAGGGUUGCAAAUUUGAAAGGUUAAACCGUUUUGCUUUAAUGCGGCCUCUAAGGACUAUAGCAAUAGCUAUGGCUGAUGAGUAAAUHAUAGAAAAUCCANUAUUUAAAAAAUGGAUCAGGAAAAU